Molecule: ribosomal RNA, 955 nt
Filed under: Staphylococcus aureus
Lineage: Bacteria; Bacillati; Bacillota; Bacilli; Caryophanales; Staphylococcaceae
Description: partial 23S ribosomal RNA
Rfam family: Bacterial large subunit ribosomal RNA
Source: RNAcentral
UCGAUUCCCUUAGUAGCGGCGAGCGAAACGGGAAGAGCCCAAACCAACAAGCUUGCUUGUUGGGGUUGUAGGACACUCUAUACGGAGUUACAAAGGACGACAUUAGACGAAUCAUCUGGAAAGAUGAAUCAAAGAAGGUAAUAAUCCUGUAGUCGAAAAUGUUGUCUCUCUUGAGUGGAUCCUGAGUACGACGGAGCACGUGAAAUUCCGUCGGAAUCUGGGAGGACCAUCUCCUAAGGCUAAAUACUCUCUAGUGACCGAUAGUGAACCAGUACCGUGAGGGAAAGGUGAAAAGCACCCCGGAAGGGGAGUGAAAUAGAACCUGAAACCGUGUGCUUACAAGUAGUCAGAGCCCGUUAAUGGGUGAUGGCGUGCCUUUUGUAGAAUGAACCGGCGAGUUACGAUUUGAUGCAAGGUUAAGCAGUAAAUGUGGAGCCGUAGCGAAAGCGAGUCUGAAUAGGGCGUUUAGUAUUUGGUCGUAGACCCGAAACCAGGUGAUCUACCCUUGGUCAGGUUGAAGUUCAGGUAACACUGAAUGGAGGACCGAACCGACUUACGUUGAAAAGUGAGCGGAUGAACUGAGGGUAGCGGAGAAAUUCCAAUCGAACCUGGAGAUAGCUGGUUCUCUCCGAAAUAGCUUUAGGGCUAGCCUCAAGUGAUGAUUAUUGGAGGUAGAGCACUGUUUGGACGAGGGGCCCCUCUCGGGUUACCGAAUUCAGACAAACUCCGAAUGCCAAUUAAUUUAACUUGGGAGUCAGAACAUGGGUGAUAAGGUCCGUGUUCGAAAGGGAAACAGCCCAGACCACCAGCUAAGGUCCCAAAAUAUAUGUUAAGUGGAAAAGGAUGUGGCGUUGCCCAGACAACUAGGAUGUUGGCUUAGAAGCAGCCAUCAUUUAAAGAGUGCGUAAUAGCUCACUAGUCGAGUGACACUGCGCCGAAAAUGUACCGGGGCUAA